This 76-nucleotide transfer RNA is filed under the name Candidatus Gracilibacteria bacterium GN02-873. RNAcentral's name for it is "tRNA-Met". It matches the Rfam family "tRNA". From Rfam's summary of the family: Transfer RNA (tRNA) molecules are approximately 80 nucleotides in length. Their secondary structure includes four short double-helical elements and three loops (D, anti-codon, and T loops). Lineage: Bacteria; Candidatus Altimarinota. RNAcentral also lists the same sequence under 2 other names. The record is from RNAcentral.
CGGGGUAUAGCUCAGUGGUUAGAGCAGUCGGCUCAUAACCGAUUGGUCGCUGGUUCAAGUCCAGCUACCCCGACCA